RNAcentral lists this long non-coding RNA (452 nucleotides) under Mytilus galloprovincialis (Mediterranean mussel). The record is from RNAcentral. Lineage: Eukaryota; Metazoa; Mollusca; Bivalvia; Mytilida; Mytilidae.
GCUAUAUGAUACAUGUACAAAUAUCAAUAUAUAAUGUUUUAUAUUUUGUAUUUUUGUCAUGUUUGCAUUUGUUUUUUGUUGAUGUGCUUUGUCUAUAAUUCAAUGAUGAAUGUUGUACUCCUAUUUUGACAUUUAUACCUAUCAUGACUGUUUGUUUUGUCCACACAUCGUUGUCAAUAUAAUGGAAUUGUAUGCGACUGUCAUACAAGUGAGAGGUUAGAUAGUUAUUAAAUCAAGGUUAAUCCACUAUUUUAUGCAUAAGAAAAUGCCCGUACCAAGUCAGGAAUAUAACAGUAGUUAUCUAUUUGUUUGAUGUAUAUGAGCUUUCGAUUUUGCCUUUGAUAUGGGACUUCUGUUUCGAAUUUUCUUCAGAAAUUUUUUUAAAAUUUUUUUUUUACUUGGUAACUGUUUGAUAAUCACAUUUCGUAAUUAUUUUUCAGGUGAUCGGUAUA